GAUGAACGCUGACAGAAUGCUUAACACAUGCAAGUCUACUUGAAUUUGGGUUUUUAACUUAGAUUUGGGUGGCGGACGGGUGAGUAACGCGUAAAGAACUUGCCUCACAGCUAGGGACAACAUUUAGAAAUGAAUGCUAAUACCUAAUAUUAUGAUAAUAGGGCAUCCUAUAAUUAUGAAAGCUAUAUGCGCUGUGAGAGAGCUUUGCGUCCCAUUAGCUAGUUGGAGAGGUAACAGCUCACCAAGGCGAUGAUGGGUAGCCGGCCUGAGAGGGUGAUCGGCCACAAGGGGACUGAGACACGGCCCUUACUCCUACGGGAGGCAGCAGUGGGGAAUAUUGGACAAUGGACCGAGAGUCUGAUCCAGCAAUUCUGUGUGCACGAUGAAGUUUUUCGGAAUGUAAAGUGCUUUCAGUUGGGAAGAAAGAAAUGACGGUACCAACAGAAGAAGUGACGGCUAAAUACGUGCCAGCAGCCGCGGUAAUACGUAUGUCACGAGCGUUAUCCGGAUUUAUUGGGCGUAAAGCGCGUCUAGGUGGUUAUAUAAGUCUGAUGUGAAAAUGCAGGGCUCAACUCUGUAUUGCCUUGGAAACUGUAAACUAGAGUACUGGACAGGUAACGGAACUACCCCUGUGGAGGUGAAAUUUUUUUAUAUUUUUAGGAAUGCUGUGGCGUAAACACCUUACUGGAAAAAUACAGACACUUAAGAUCGCAAGGGGUGGGUGGUAUAGUGGAAUAGAUACCCUCUCCUCGACGAUCCAAUAGAAAAAAUACAACAUAGUGUAAUUAUGGCGGAUCACGGGGUGCGAGCCCCCCACCCCCGACCAUUUAUGACGCUAGUGGUGGUGGUCUCUCCUACCUUCCCACAUUAAAAAACAAAAA
RNAcentral lists this ribosomal RNA (881 nucleotides) under uncultured Fusobacterium sp. Its description in RNAcentral is "bacterial SSU rRNA". It matches the Rfam family "Bacterial small subunit ribosomal RNA", at positions 28 to 864 of the family's 1533-position model. The record is from RNAcentral. Lineage: Bacteria; Fusobacteriati; Fusobacteriota; Fusobacteriia; Fusobacteriales; Fusobacteriaceae.